This 255-nucleotide ribosomal RNA is filed under the name uncultured bacterium. RNAcentral describes it as "partial 16S ribosomal RNA". It matches the Rfam family "Bacterial small subunit ribosomal RNA", at positions 524 to 776 of the family's 1533-position model. The record is from RNAcentral.
GACGUAGGGCGCGAGCGUUGUCCGGAUUUAUUGGGCGUAAAGAGCUCGUAGGCGGCUCGUUGCGUCGGCUGUGAAAACCCGCAGCUCAACUGUGGGCUUGCAGCCGAUACGGGCGGGCUAGGAUUCGGUAGGGGAGGACUGGAAUUCCUGGUGUAGAGGUGAAAUUCGUAUGAUAUUGGGAAGAACACCGGUGGCGAAGGCGGCUCACUGGCUCAUUACUGACGCUCAGGCGCGAUAGCGUGGGGAUCAAACAGG